CCCAUCACGGAGCCCACUUUAUGCGAUGAUGAGGACAUCACGGAUGCUUAUAUUCAGGAGCCCGACGAUACUAUGGUAAGAAAAUAUUUUUGACUUAACACGUACAUUACUAAUAUACAUUUUCAUAUGCUAAGCUUAGUAAUUUUUUUGUAGGUGCUGACGGACCGACGACCCCUUCUAUUGAUCCUGCCAGCUCUACAGACGAUCAUGCUGUUGCGCAUCCUCACAUAAAAAGGCGACGUGAUGAGAAUGAUCCUGAUAGUGUACCCAGGCGACAUGGGAUGCGCCUCAGGCCAGCAGCUGCA
This 305-nucleotide long non-coding RNA is filed under the name Nicotiana tabacum (common tobacco). RNAcentral describes it as "long non-coding RNA (NTAB_LNC012960)". Lineage: Eukaryota; Viridiplantae; Streptophyta; Magnoliopsida; Solanales; Solanaceae. The record is from RNAcentral.